AUCGUACGAAUUAUCAGAGUUUGCGGUAAUUUUACACUUACACGCCCGCCCUCUGACUAAAAGCAGCAACUUAAUUUUGCAACAAUACCCCAACUUCUGUAUGCGUCGUGCGCCGCCGCCGCCGCCGAACUGCACAUACGUCUGAUCUGGAUCGACUUGAUCCUGACGUGCACCGGCACCCACCCGGCCGCCCCCAUGCAGCGGCGACUAGACACGGACAAGUAGCAAGUACCCCUUGCAAUCAGAGACACGUGGGCAUCAAAACUUUGAGAAGUAUGGAUCCAAUCAAUAACAUUCAAAUGCAUAUGAGCCCCGGGGGAUUUAGUACGCCCAAAAAGAACACAACCAUACCUCUCUUUUCUUCUUCUUUUACGCCUGAAUGUGAUGAGCAUUUGAAGCCUAAAGUGGGUAUGACAUUUGAAGGACUCGAGGCCGUGG
Triticum urartu is the source of this 438-nucleotide non-coding RNA. NCBI's taxonomy places the organism in Eukaryota, Viridiplantae, Streptophyta, Magnoliopsida, Poales, Poaceae. The record is from RefSeq and is a predicted model, not a curated record.